GAUGAACGCUAGCUACAGGCUUAACACAUGCAAGUCGAGGGGUAACGAGAGGAAAGCUUGCUUUCCUUGUCGACGACCGGCGCACGGGUGAGUAACGCGUAUCCAACCUGCCCCCAACCAGGGAAUAACCUUGCGAAAGUAAGACUAAUACCCUAUAAUUUCCUCAGAUGUCAUCUGACGAGGAAUAAAGAUUUAUCGGUUGUGGAUGGGGAUGCGUCUGAUUAGCUUGUUGGCGGGGUAACGGCCCACCAAGGCAACGAUUAGUAGGGGUUCUGCGAGGAAGGUCCCACACAUUGGAACUGAGACACGGUCCAAACUCCUACGGGAGGCAGCAGUGAGGAAUAUUGGUCAAUGGGCGGAAGCCUGAACCAGCCAAGUAGCGUGCAGGAUGACGGCCCUAUGGGUUGUAAACUGCUUUUAUACAGGAAUAAAGUUAGCCACGUGUGGUUAUUUGUAGGUACUGUAUGAAUAAGGACCGGCUAAUUCCGUGCCAGCAGCCGCGGUAA
RNAcentral lists this ribosomal RNA (506 nucleotides) under uncultured bacterium. RNAcentral's name for it is "partial 16S ribosomal RNA". It matches the Rfam family "Bacterial small subunit ribosomal RNA", at positions 28 to 523 of the family's 1533-position model. The record is from RNAcentral.